UGGGGAAUAUUGGACAAUGGGGGCAACCCUGAUCCAGCCAUGCCGCGUGAGUGAUGAAGGCCUUCGGGUUGUAAAGCUCUUUUGGCGGGGACGAUGAUGACGGUACCCGCAGAAUAAGCCCCGGCUAACUUCGUGCCAGCAGCCGCGGUAAGACGAAGGGGGCUAGCGUUGUUCGGAAUUACUGGGCGUAAAGCGAGUGUAGGCGGUUGUCGUAGUCAGGUGUGAAAGCCUUGAGCUCAACUCAAGAAAUGCACUUGAUACUGGGUGACUAGAGGACCGGAGAGGAUAGUGGAAUUCCCAGUGUAGUGGUGAAAUACGUAGAGAUUGGGAAGAACACCAGUGGCGAAGGCGGCUAUCUGGACGGUUACUGACGCUAAGACUCGAAAGCGUGGGGAGCAAACAGGAUUAGAUACCCUGGGUAGUCCACGCCGUAAACGAUGGGUGCUAGACGUUGGCGAGCUUGCUCGUCAGUGUCGCAGCUAAACGCGUUAAGGCACCCCCGCCUGGGGGAGUA
RNAcentral lists this ribosomal RNA (514 nucleotides) under uncultured bacterium. RNAcentral's name for it is "partial 16S ribosomal RNA". It matches the Rfam family "Bacterial small subunit ribosomal RNA", at positions 355 to 882 of the family's 1533-position model. The record is from RNAcentral.